This 181-nucleotide small RNA is filed under the name Chelonoidis abingdonii (Abingdon island giant tortoise). RNAcentral's name for it is "TUC338 (ENSCABG00000015380.1)". The record is from RNAcentral. Lineage: Eukaryota; Metazoa; Chordata; Testudines; Testudinidae.
CUGGCCAAGAACCCUGGGGCCUGUCCUUCAGUAACAGAAGAGGGACAGGAUGGGCAGCACCAGUACAAUCUUCCUCUGCAUCAUGCCCCACCACACCACUUUGCCUCAAAAUAGUUCUGGAAGAAUUAUCUACCGGUGAGGAUAGUUCAGUCUCCAUAGCACAUUCCAAUCCUUGGCUGUU